UACGUAGGGGGCUAGCGCUGUCCGGAUUUAUUGGGCGUAAAGAGCGUGUAGGCGGCCAGGUAGGUCUGCUGUGAAAACUCGAGGCUUAACCUCGAGAUGUCAGCGGAAACCAUCUGGCUAGAGUCCGGAAGAGGAGAGUGGAAUUCCUGGUGUAGCGGUGAAAUGCGCAGAUAUCAGGAAGAACACCCGUGGCGAAGGCGGCUCUCUGGGACGGUACUGACGCUGAGACGCGAAAGCGUGGGGAGCGAACAGG
RNAcentral lists this ribosomal RNA (253 nucleotides) under uncultured bacterium. RNAcentral describes it as "partial 16S ribosomal RNA". It matches the Rfam family "Bacterial small subunit ribosomal RNA", at positions 524 to 776 of the family's 1533-position model. The record is from RNAcentral.